RNAcentral lists this ribosomal RNA (433 nucleotides) under uncultured bacterium. RNAcentral's name for it is "bacterial SSU rRNA". It matches the Rfam family "Bacterial small subunit ribosomal RNA", at positions 358 to 782 of the family's 1533-position model. The record is from RNAcentral.
GGAAUCUUGCGCAAUGGGGGAAACCCUGACGCAGCAACGCCGUGUGAGUGACGAAGGCUUUCGGGUCGUAAAGCUCUGUCAGAUGGGAAGAAUUAGUUUGCUGAAAAUAUCGGCAAAUGAUGACGGUACCAUCAAAGGAAGCACCGGCUAACUCCGUGCCAGCAGCCGCGGUAAUACGGAGGGUGCAAGCGUUGUUCGGAAUUAUUGGGCGUAAAGCGCGUGUAGGCGGAUAGAUAAGUCAGGCGUGAAAUCCCUUGACUCAAUCAAGGAACUGCACUUGAAACUAUUUAUCUCGAGUACGAUAGGGGAGGGUGGAAUUCCCAGUGUAGAGGUGAAAUUCAUAGAUAUUGGGAGGAACACCAGUGGCGAAGGCGACCCUCUGGAUCGAUACUGACGCUGAGACGCGAAAGCGUGGGUAGCAAACAGGAUUAGA